UUACUUAUACGAAAAAAAAAACAAAUCAGAUGGUUGCACAGACGAUGGUAUGUUAGGCCAAUUAAACAAAAGAGAUCAAUUUGGAGAUUAUAAUUGUUUAUUCCAAGAACUUAAGAAUGAUGAAAAAAUGUUUUACCGCUACACAAGAAUGACAACUGAACAUUUGAACAAGCUUACAGAAUUAACGACACCGUAUUUAAAAAAAAUAAAUAAACAUGCUCUUAUUCCGGAACAUAGACUUAUAAUAGCUUUAAGAUAUCUUGCUAUAGGCGAUUUACCGUUAUCCAUAGCUGUAGCUUUUAGAGUUGGCGAAUCUACAGUCAGGAAAAUAAUAAAGGAAGUUUGUUUAGUGUUAAUUAAAGUUUUACAACUUCUAUAUUUUGUUUGUCCUAAUGAUGAAGAUUGGAAAAAAUGUGCUGAUGGUUUCUGGAAACGUUGGAAUCUUCCUAAUUGUGUUGGAUCGAUAGAUGGGAAGCACAUAAGAUUACGAUGUCCUCCAAAUUCCGGAACUUUAUUUUACAAUUAUAAAAAAUAUUACAGCAUAGUAUUAAUGGCAGUAGCAGAUUCUAUAUACAGAUUUACACUAGUUGAUGUAGGAGCCUACGGAGGAGACAGCGAUGGAGGAAUUUUUAAUGAUUCUCAAAUAGGAAUUAAUUUGAACAAUGAACAAUUAAAUCUGCCAAAAGAAAUUGUUAAUCUUCCUGAUACCAAUAUAAAAACAUUCCUAUAUUUUAUUGAUUUUCAAGAGCACGCAGAACUGUCGAAAACGCUUUUGGUAUUUUUGCCAACAAAUGGAGAAUAUUUCAUACAUCUAUUUGUAUGCUGCCAGAAACUGUAAACAUAAUUCUUACAGCUUCAGUUUGUUUACAUAAUUAUGUGUUAAAAGAAGAGCAACACAAUGAAUAUAAAUAUUACAGUCAAGAGAUAAUUCGAGAAAAUGAUAAUACAAUGUGGCUGUCAUCAAGUGGUGUCGAAGAAUGUAGUGGUAACGUAAGGGAUGGUCAAGCUCAAAGGGAUAAACUAUGUGAAUAUUUUGUUUCUUCAGCUGGAAGACUGGAAUGGCAAUAUGACUAUAUUCAUAGACUAUAUUCAUUUAUUUUUGAAUUUAAUUUAUAUUCUUUCCGUUUCUAAUUAUCACCGUUUUAUGUCUCUACGAACCGUGUUACUUAAUGCUCUAAUCUUCGUUAAUUAAAUUGCGCUGAAGAUGACUUGAAGACAAGUCGAAACGUCCGCACACACCUUUUAUUCUUAUAU
RNAcentral lists this unclassified non-coding RNA (1254 nucleotides) under Camponotus floridanus (Florida carpenter ant). RNAcentral's name for it is "protein ALP1-like, transcript variant X1". Lineage: Eukaryota; Metazoa; Arthropoda; Insecta; Hymenoptera; Formicidae. The record is from RNAcentral.